This 468-nucleotide ribosomal RNA is filed under the name uncultured bacterium. RNAcentral's name for it is "partial 16S ribosomal RNA". It matches the Rfam family "Bacterial small subunit ribosomal RNA", at positions 28 to 507 of the family's 1533-position model. The record is from RNAcentral.
GACGAACGCUGGCGGCGUGCUUAACACAUGCAAGUCGAACGGAAAGGCCCUGCUUUUGUGGGGUGCUCGAGUGGCGAACGGGUGAGUAACACGUGAGUAACCUGCCCUUGACUUUGGGAUAACUUCAGGAAACUGGGGCUAAUACCGGAUAGGAGCUCCUGCUGCAUGGUGGGGGUUGGAAAGUUUCGGCGGUUGGGGAUGGACUCGCGGCUUAUCAGCUUGUUGGUGGGGUAGUGGCUUACCAAGGCUUUGACGGGUAGCCGGCCUGAGAGGGUGACCGGCCACAUUGGGACUGAGAUACGGCCCAGACGCCUACGGGAGGCAGCAGGGGGGAAUAUGGCACAAUGGGCGGAAGCCGGAUGCAGCAACGCCGCGUGCGGGAUGACGGCCGUCGGGUUGUAAACCGCUUUCGCCUGUGACGAAGCGUGAGUGACGGUAAUGGGUAAAGAAGCACCGGCUAACUACGUG